This 414-nucleotide ribosomal RNA is filed under the name Triticum aestivum (bread wheat). RNAcentral describes it as "partial small subunit ribosomal RNA". Lineage: Eukaryota; Viridiplantae; Streptophyta; Magnoliopsida; Poales; Poaceae. The record is from RNAcentral.
AUGCUCACCGGCGUUCUGUUUCGAGAUAUUGAUUGGGUGUUGGGUAUGGGUGUUUGCAGGUGGGCCUACUUUAUUCCCGGCUCUGAUGUCAGUGGACAUGCACCGUUCUUGUGUGGAUUUGAGCGUCGUGGCAUGUGGUGGCUCUUUGUCAGACGCAUCAACGGCUGGUGUUGUCACCAGGAGCAGAGCGGUGUUACCAUUAUUGACAUCGUAUUUAAGUGGAUGGCUGAAAUAGAUUUGGAAGUAAUUGUAUAUGUGUUGUCAACAUGGUAUCAUAUCACUUUGUGGAAUGGUAUGGAGGAGGUCGCCAUCACCACCGGCGAAGAGGAUGCGGACGUCCUCCUUCAUAUCGAGGUUGUACUACCAUCAAAAUGCUCAAUCCCAUGGAGACUGCCAAGUUCCGCCUCAUCAUGA